This 441-nucleotide ribosomal RNA is filed under the name uncultured bacterium. RNAcentral's name for it is "partial 16S ribosomal RNA". It matches the Rfam family "Bacterial small subunit ribosomal RNA", at positions 338 to 795 of the family's 1533-position model. The record is from RNAcentral.
CCUACGGGAGGCAGCAGUGGGGAAUAUUGCACAAUGGGGGAAACCCUGAUGCAGCGACGCCGCGUGAGUGAAGAAGUAUUUCGGUAUGUAAAGCUCUAUCAGCAGGAACGAGACAAGACGGUACCUGACUAAGAAGCCCCGGAUAACUACGUGCCAGCAGCCGCGGUAAUACGUAGGGGGCAAGCGUUAACCGGAAACAAUGGGUGUAAAGGGAGCGUAGACGGCUGAGCAAGCAUGAAGUGAAGGGCGGGGGCCAAACCCCCGGACUGCUUGGGGAACUGUACGGCUGGAGUGCAGGAAAGGUGAGUAGAAUUCCUGGUGUAGCGGUGAAAUGCGUAGAUAUAAGGAGGAACACCAGUGGCGAAGGCGGCUUACUGGACUGUAACUGACGUUGAGGCUCGAAAGCGUGGGGAGCAAACAGGAUUAGAUACCCCGGUAGUC